AGAGUUUGAUCCUGGCUCAGGACGAACGCUGGCGGCGUGCCUAACACAUGCAAGUCGAACGAGGUCCAUCCGGUGGCAACACCGGAGAAGACCUAGUGGCGAACGGGUGCGUAACACGUGAGCAACCUGCCCCGAAGACCGGGAUAACGCCGGGAAACCGGUGCUAAUACCGGAUGUCCCCACGGAGUCGCAUGGCUCUG
This 200-nucleotide ribosomal RNA is filed under the name uncultured bacterium. RNAcentral describes it as "partial 16S ribosomal RNA". It matches the Rfam family "Bacterial small subunit ribosomal RNA", at positions 8 to 198 of the family's 1533-position model. The record is from RNAcentral.